Molecule: ribosomal RNA, 504 nt
Filed under: uncultured bacterium
Lineage: Bacteria
Description: partial 16S ribosomal RNA
Rfam family: Bacterial small subunit ribosomal RNA
Source: RNAcentral
GAUGAACGCUAGCGGCAGGCUUAAUACAUGCAAGUCGUGGGGCAGCAGGACUGUAGCCAUACAGUUGCUGGCGACCGGCAAACGGCUGCGGACCACGUACGCAAUCGACCCAGAACUGGUGAAUAGCCCUCCGAAAGCAGGAUAAAUACACCGUAAUAUUAUAAAGUGGCAUCACUCAAUAAUUAAAGCUCCGGCGGGUUUCGAUGAGCGUGCGGCCCAUUCGGUAGUUGGUUGAGGUAAUGGCUCACCAAGCCCGCGAUGGGUAACUGGUGUGAGAGCACGACCAGUCACACGGGCACUGAGACACGGGCCCGACUCCUACGGGAGGCAGCAGUAAGGAAUAUUGGUCAAUGGACGCAAGUCUGAACCAGCCAUGCCGCGUGGAGGAUGAAGGCCCUCUGGGUUGUAAACUUCUUUUAUGGGGGACGAAAUCACUUAUUCUUAAGUGUCUGACGGUACCCCAGGAAUAAGCACCGGCUAACUUCGUGCCAGCCGCCGCCGUAA